GAACUCUGGAAUGAGUCUUUGCCAAAAAGACGUUUACGUUAUGCUCGUAGGCGUCGCCCAAGGAUGAGGCCGCGACCGAUCAGGUUGUUGGUGAGGUAAUGGCUCACCAAGCCUUUUACCGGUGCGGGCCGUGAGAGCGGGAGCCCGGAGAUGGGCACUGAGACAAGGGCCCAGGCCCUACGGGGCGCAGCAGUCGCGAAAACUUUGCAAUACACGAAAGUGUGACAGGGCUAUCCCGAGUGCCAUCCGCUGAGGAAGGCUUUUACCCAGUCUAGAACGCUGGGGGAAUAAGGAGAGGGCAAGUCUGGUGUCAGCCGCCGCGGUAAUACCAGCUCUCCGAGUGGUGUGGAUGUUUAUUGGGCCUAAAGCAUCCGUAGCUGGCUGAGUUAGUCCCUUGUUAAAUCCACCGAAUUAAUCGUUGGAUUGCGGGGGAUACUGCUCGGCUAGGGGACGAGAGAGGCAGACGGUAUUUCUGGGGUAGGGGUGAAAUCCUAUAAUCCCAGGAGGACCACCAGUGGCGAAGGCUGUCUGCUAGAACGCGCCCGACGGUGAGGGAUGAAAGCUGGGGGAGCGAACCGGAUUAGAUACCCGGGUAGUCCCAGCUGUAAACGAUGCAGACUAGGUGUUUGGACGGCCACGUGCCGUUCUAGUGCCGCAGGGAAGCUGUUAAGUCUGCCGCCUGGGGAGUACGAUCGCAAGAUUGAAACUUAAAGGAAUUGGCGGGGGAGCACCACAAGGGGUGAAGCUUGC
Molecule: ribosomal RNA, 750 nt
Filed under: uncultured archaeon
Lineage: Archaea
Description: bacterial SSU rRNA
Rfam family: Archaeal small subunit ribosomal RNA
Source: RNAcentral